UCGAGCGGCGGACGGGUGAGUAACGCGUAGGAAUCUGCCUAGUAGUGGGGGAUAGCCCGGCGAAAGCCGGAUUAAUACCGCAUAAUGCCUAAGGGUGAAAGUAUGGGAUCUUCGGACCAUACGCUGUUAGAUGAGCCUGCGUCGGAUUAGCUAGUUGGUAGGGUAAAGGCCUACCAAGGCGACGAUCCGUAGCUGGUCUGAGAGGAUGAUCAGCCACACUGGGACUGAGACACGGCCCAGACUCC
This 245-nucleotide ribosomal RNA is filed under the name uncultured bacterium. RNAcentral describes it as "partial 16S ribosomal RNA". It matches the Rfam family "Bacterial small subunit ribosomal RNA", at positions 91 to 339 of the family's 1533-position model. The record is from RNAcentral.